UCUGCAUUCAAAUCUUCACUCAUUCUCUCUGCAGAUCUCUCUGAUUUUCUCUUCUUUCUUGUUAGGAACUUGCUCUGGGUGCACCCUCCCCGGCCCAGUCUGCUCCCCUCCUUUGGUCUCACCACUUCUCUCUAGUGCACUCCCACACUGUUCAAGAGGCCGUGCUUCAUGGCUGGGACAGAAUGGAAAUAGUCAAGCAAGAAGUAAUAGCCAAGCAGGGAGAAGGAAGAUCUUGCCCUUGAUUGGCUCUUCUCCAUAAGCCUCAGAGAUGUGGGUCAAUCAAUUAACAUUACAAGGAAUUGAAAUCUCAUUUCCUGGAAAUACCGGGCUGGACGGCAGCCAUCCCUCAAACGAGCCCCCGUGGAGAAGACUUGGAGACGUGAGCUCCCAACUCGGAUUUCCGGUGGAUGCGUCUUAAAUCCCACGGACUGGAGGCUGAGGUCAUAGAUUACUUUCUCAGUGCCAUCAAGGGUCAGUUCAACUUACACUUCCUGUCAUUAUUGUCUUAGAUCAUGCAUGACAUAAUACUUCUUAGCCCAUUUCCUCACAUACAGAUUUCUAAUCAGCUGUGAAAAAAUACUGUUAAUAUCUGUAUGUUCAAGAAGAGAUGUUAGCGGAAUAAGGGCUGAAAAGCUGCUCUGAACUGGCAAUAGCCGGAGUUAAAUAAAAUAGGAUGGCAAAUCUGGAAAUGGGGUAAUGGUAGUCAUUUAAGAAGAAGAGGUUAAGCGGACUGGUCAACAUCACCACUAAAAGGCUUCUUGCUCUGCUCUCAACUUCAUUUGCAUAACUGGGGUACCAUGGGGUUACAGUAGGUGGAAAUGAGCUUUGCUACCAGAUAAAUGCAGGUAGGAACCCUGCCUCUACUGGGCUCUGUGAGAUUGGACAAGUUCCUUUACUUUUCUCAGCCUUUUGCCAGGGAAAUUUCCAAACUUUCAAAACUGUAGCAAGAAACAGAGAUCAUGCAUGAAGAGCAGUUGGUACAGAGAGGUGCUCAGUACAUGGUGAAACAAAUAAUAAUACUAACUGUGUGCCCACUGGGGGACUGGCCUGGUGCUCACUGUGAUG
This 1065-nucleotide long non-coding RNA is filed under the name Mustela putorius furo (domestic ferret). RNAcentral's name for it is "lncRNA (ENSMPUG00000024466.1)". The record is from RNAcentral. Lineage: Eukaryota; Metazoa; Chordata; Mammalia; Carnivora; Mustelidae.